CCUACGGGUGGCAGCAGUGGGGAAUUUUGCGCAAUGGGGGGAACCCUGACGCAGCAACGCCGCGUGCGGGACGAAGGCCCUCGGGUUGUAAACCGCUUUCAGCAGGGAAGAUCCAGGACGGUACCUGCAGAAUAAGCUCCGGCUAACUACGUGCCAGCAGCCGCGGUCAUACGUAGGGGCCGAGCGUUAUCCGAAUUCAUUGGGCGUAAGGCGCGCGGAGGCGGCCGCCGAAGCGGGACCUCGAACCCCGGGGCCCAACCCCGGGCCGGGUCUGGGACUGGGCGGCUCGAGUGCGGUAGAGGAGAGCGGAAUGCCCGGUGUAGCGGUGGAAUGCGUAGAUAUCGGGAAGAACACCGAUGGCGAAGGCAGCUCUCUGGGCCGUCACUGACGCUGAGGCGCGAAAGCUGGGGGAGCGAACAGGAUUAGAUACCCCUGUAGUC
This 440-nucleotide ribosomal RNA is filed under the name uncultured bacterium. RNAcentral's name for it is "partial 16S ribosomal RNA". It matches the Rfam family "Bacterial small subunit ribosomal RNA", at positions 338 to 795 of the family's 1533-position model. The record is from RNAcentral.